This 253-nucleotide ribosomal RNA is filed under the name uncultured bacterium. RNAcentral describes it as "partial 16S ribosomal RNA". It matches the Rfam family "Bacterial small subunit ribosomal RNA", at positions 524 to 776 of the family's 1533-position model. The record is from RNAcentral.
UACGGGGGGAGCAAACGUUGUUCGGAAUCACUGGGCGUAAAGAGCGUGUAGGCGGCCUGGUAGGUCAGCUGUGAAAACUCGAGGCUCAACCUCGAGACGCCGGUUGAAACCAUCAGGCUAGAGUCCGGAAGAGGAGAGUGGAAUUCCCGGUGUAGCGGUGAAAUGCGCAGAUAUCGGGAAGAACACCCGUGGCUAAGGCGGCUCUCUAGUACGGUACUGACGCUGAGACGCGAAAGCGUGGGGAGCGAACAGG